RNAcentral lists this long non-coding RNA (532 nucleotides) under Bos taurus (domestic cattle). RNAcentral describes it as "long non-coding RNA NONBTAT026591". The record is from RNAcentral. Lineage: Eukaryota; Metazoa; Chordata; Mammalia; Artiodactyla; Bovidae.
UCUAGAAUAGUAAAAAUCACAAAUGGACAUUUUUAUUUUCAAAGACAUAAAAGCCCAAAUAUUACAAUACUGAGGUACAGCUUGGCACUGUGUGAAAUGUUGACUUUACAAUCAUAGAAAACAUGUUUCAAUCUUUCUAAAGGUUCACAAAUCUUACUCAAAGUACCACCUAAGUUUUUCCAGACACAGAAAGGAAAUGAGUUAUACAACUGUCUCCAUUAACACCAACCAAUAAAACAACAAAAGAAAAAAUAGUAUUAAAAGUUAUUAAUAAGACUUCUCUUCAUUUACAUAGUGUUUAAUGUUAAAGCAACAUUAUUUUGUUUAAUGCCUACUAACAGAAAAGAAAAACACUACAGGUGGAAAUAAAGUAAUAGAAGGCUGAGGAUUAAAUCUAUUAAUUAGAGAAUAUUAAUUAAAUCCCAACAAUCUUUUCUCCUUCGCAUCAUAGUUACAAAUCAGUAUUGAAUAUUUAACAACAGCCAUAGUUACAUGAUGCUAAAUUACAUCAUGUAUUGGGAAAUGGCAUCUC